AAAAAAUUGAGCACUUUUUCGGCGCCGCCUCCCAUCCAAAAGAUACAUCAGGGGUUUGAAAUAAAUUUUGAUGGAAAAAAUCGAGGCAAAAUAGUGAUUUUUGGCAAUUUUGAGAUGUCCCCUCGUUGCCAUGGUAACAGGAAAUUAAAGACUGAGCAUGUAGUUACAAAGGCAAUGGUCCAGUCAACAUUUGUGCCAAGUUUGAUUAGUAUUGAAGCAUUUUUCAUAGUUUCAUAGCAGUUUGAACUUGUAACAGGAGGCUUUUCAGUGAAAACGGCCAUUUUUCACAAUAUGCUCAUGGGGGAAAGGGUUAACUAAAAAAUUAUAAAUGUUACAAAACAUCAAUUUUUCACCACAAUUAGGUGAAAUACGACAUGUUAACAUGGAAAAACUAGUUUUUAGGUGAUUCCAAAGUUUUUCAUCAUUUUUUGUUAACCCUUUACCACAUAUAUACGCGAAACAACGCACUUUCGACCCCCCCCCCUUUUUAAGGCCUCAAAUAGUGAAAAAAUGUCCUAUUUGGACCCCAAACAUAAGUUUUCGUUUGAGAAAUGAUGCUUAAAAAAUUGAGCACUUUUUCGGCGCCGCCUCCCAUCCAAAAGAUACAUCAGGGGUUUGAAAUAAAUUUUGAUGGAAAAAAUCGAGGCAAAAUAGUGAUUUUUGGCAAUUUUGAGAUGUCCCCUCGUUGCCAUGGUAACAGGAAAUUAAAGACUGAGCAUGUAGUUACAAAGGCAAUGGUCCAGUCAACAUUUGUGCCAAGUUUGAUUAGUAUUGAAGCAUUUUUCAUAGUUUCAUAUUAGUUUGAACUUGUAACAGGAGGCUUUUCAGUGAAAACGGCCAUUUUUCACAAUAUGCUCAUGGGGGAAAGGGUUAACUAAAAAAUUAUAAAUGUUACAAAACAUCAAUUUUUCACCACAAUUAGGUGAAAUACGACAUGUUAACAUGGAAAAACUAGUUUUUAGGUGAUUCCAAAGUUUUUCAUCAUUUUUUGUUAACCCUUUACCACAUAUAUACGCGAAACAACGCACUUUCGACCCCCCCCCCUUUUUAAGGCCUCAAAUAGUGAAAAAAUGUCCUAUUUGGACCCCAAACAUAAGUUUUCGUUUGAGAAAUGAUGCUUAAAAAAUUGAGCACUUUUUCGGCGCCGCCUCCCAUCCAAAAGAUACAUCAGGGGUUUGAAAUAAAUUUUGAUGGAAAAAAUCGAGGCAAAAUAGUGAUUUUUGGCAAUUUUGAGAUGUCCCCUCGUUGCCAUGGUAACAGGAAAUUAAAGACUGAGCAUGUAGUUACAAAGGCAAUGGUCCAGUCAACAUUUGUGCCAAGUUUGAUUAGUAUUGAAGCAUUUUUCAUAGUUUCAUAGCAGUUUGAACUUGUAACAGGAGGCUUUUCAGUGAAAACGGCCAUUUUUCACAAUAUGCUCAUGGGGGAAAGGGUUAAGA
Ruditapes philippinarum (Manila clam) is the source of this 1436-nucleotide long non-coding RNA. RefSeq lists it as uncharacterized. The transcript is spliced from 4 exons. Lineage: Eukaryota; Metazoa; Mollusca; Bivalvia; Venerida; Veneridae. The record is from RefSeq and is a predicted model, not a curated record.